RNAcentral lists this long non-coding RNA (373 nucleotides) under Setaria viridis. RNAcentral describes it as "long non-coding RNA (SVIR_LNC002967)". Lineage: Eukaryota; Viridiplantae; Streptophyta; Magnoliopsida; Poales; Poaceae. The record is from RNAcentral.
CCUGUUACUACGACGGGCGCUACUGGACCAUGUGGAAGCUGCCCAUGUUCGGCUGCACCGAGGCCACCCAGGUGUACGCUGAGCUCGAGGAGUGCAAGAAGGCCUACCCUGACUGUUACAUCCGUGUCAUCGGCUUCGACAACCUCAGGCAGGUGCAAUGCGUCCUGUUCAUCGCCUACAAGCCCCCGGGCAGCGAGUAGACCGGCGCCGCCAAAUAAAAAGCUUAAAUACUGAGACUCUUCAGCUCCUGCAUGGGCAACCAUGAAGUGUCUGUUCGUUUUUUUUUUUGCUUCGUGUCACCUUGAUUUUGUUUUUUUUUUCCUUGCUUGCUUCUGCUGUAUCCAUGGCAUGCAUGCGGAUCUCUCCCCCCAAC